This 271-nucleotide long non-coding RNA is filed under the name Prunus persica (peach). Its description in RNAcentral is "long non-coding RNA (PPER_LNC006129)". The record is from RNAcentral. Lineage: Eukaryota; Viridiplantae; Streptophyta; Magnoliopsida; Rosales; Rosaceae.
GAACUGCGACCUUUGGGUCCGAACCCGGCAUGUCUUGAUAACUCCAUGCAAAUACAUCUCGAUACUCUUGCAAAAGUUGUGUGUAUUCUUCUAACUCUUGCGGUAUCAGCGAAGCACAAAAAAAGAUGGGUUUUGGGCUAUCAGUUAUACCAAGAUUAAUUUCUUGGAGAUCAUUAAUCGUGGCUUGACCUCCCUCCUCCAAUUGUGGUUGAGCUGGUUGGACUAUGUCAAUGAAUUCCUCGACAUCUGGAGGGUUAUCGUCUUGACCCAC